Molecule: ribosomal RNA, 301 nt
Filed under: uncultured bacterium
Lineage: Bacteria
Description: partial 16S ribosomal RNA
Rfam family: Bacterial small subunit ribosomal RNA
Source: RNAcentral
CAGUAGCCGCGGGAAUACGUAGGGUGCGAGCGUUAAUCGGAAUUACUGGGCGUAAAGCGUGCGCAGGCGGUUCGUUAAGACAGAUGUGAAAUCCCCGGGCUUAACCUGGGAACUGCAUUUGUGACUGACGGGCUAGAGUAUGGCAGAGGGGGGUAGAAUUCCACGUGUAGCAGUGAAAUGCGUAGAGAUGUGGAGGAAUACCGAUGGCGAAGGCAGCCCCCUGGGCCAAUACUGACGCUCAUGCACGAAAGCGUGGGGAGCAAACAGGAUUAGAUACCCGCGUAGUCCCUGUCUCUUAUAC